Long non-coding RNA from Oxyura jamaicensis (ruddy duck), 318 nucleotides. RefSeq lists it as uncharacterized. The transcript is spliced from 3 exons. Lineage: Eukaryota; Metazoa; Chordata; Aves; Anseriformes; Anatidae. The record is from RefSeq and is a predicted model, not a curated record.
CAUUGGGCUCCAAGAGCCAGAUUCAAAAAAAGUUGGAAGGAGGCCAUGUUCCCAGCUGCAUUCACAGUCAGUGAGGAUCCUGAGACCAAGGAGCUGCCUGUAAGCAGGAGGGCUGGUGGAUUAGGAUGAGGAAUGAUGUACAAGACCUGUCAUUAACAUUCUUCAUUUUGUAAUGAUGAAGGACCACAACUUCAAAGCCAAUCCCUGUCUGCAUGUCCAGGCCCUCUAAAAGCAGCAGCCACACCCUCAUCUUCCUCAUUUUUUUCCACUGACCAUGAAAUACAUUCUAAGCCAGGCACUGAAAAAAAAAAAAGAAAC